This 567-nucleotide ribosomal RNA is filed under the name uncultured bacterium. RNAcentral's name for it is "bacterial SSU rRNA". It matches the Rfam family "Bacterial small subunit ribosomal RNA", at positions 335 to 919 of the family's 1533-position model. The record is from RNAcentral.
AUUCCUACGGGAGGCAGCAGUGAGGAAUAUUAGACAAUGGGCGCAAGCCUGAUCUAGCCAUGCCGCGUGAGUGAAGAAGGCCUUCGGGUUGUAAAGCUCUUUCAGAUGUGGGGAUAAUGACAGUAGCAUCAGAAGAAGCCCCGGCUAAAUUCGUGCCAGCAGCCGCGGUAAUACGAAUGGGGCAAGCGUUGUUCGGAAUCACUGGGCGUAAAGCGUACGUAGGCGGCUUUUCAAGUCAGGAGUGAAAUCCCAGGGCUCAACCCUGGAACUGCUCUUGAAACUGGAUCGCUAGAGUCCCGGAGAGGUUGGCGGAAUUCCGAGUGUAGAGGUGAAAUUCGCAGAUAUUCGGAGGAACACCAGUGGCGAAGGCGGCCAACUGGACGGGAACUGACGCUCAGGUACGAAAGCGUGGGGAGCAAACAGGAUUAGAUACCCUGGUAGUCCACGCCGUAAACGAUGUGUGCUAGUUGUUGGGCAUCAUAGAUGUUCAGUGACACAGCUAACGCGUUAAGCACACCGCCUGGGGAGUACGGUCGCAAGAUUAAAACUCAAAGGAAUUGACGGAAU